Molecule: ribosomal RNA, 623 nt
Filed under: uncultured fungus
Lineage: Eukaryota; Fungi
Description: LSU rRNA
Rfam family: Eukaryotic large subunit ribosomal RNA
Source: RNAcentral
ACCCGCUGAACUUAAGCAUAUCAAUAAGCGGAGGAAAAGAAACCAACAGGGAUUGCCUCAGUAACGGCGAGUGAAGCGGCAACAGCUCAAAUUUGAAAUCUGGCCUCGCGGCCCGAGUUGUAAUUUGUAGAGGAUGCUUCGAGCAUGGUCUGGCCUAAGUUCCUUGGAACAGGACGUCAUAGAGGGUGAGAAUCCCGUAUGCGGCCAGGUGCCUACGCUCAUGUGAAGCUCCUUCGACGAGUCGAGUUGUUUGGGAAUGCAGCUCAAAAUGGGUGGUAAAUUUCAUCUAAAGCUAAAUAUUGGCCAGAGACCGAUAGCGCACAAGUAGAGUGAUCGAAAGAUGAAAAGCACUUUGGAAAGAGAGUUAAACAGUACGUGAAAUUGUUGAAAGGGAAGCGCUUGCAACCAGACUUGCGCGCGGCCGAUCAUCUGGUGUUCUCACCGGUGCACUCGGUCGUGCUCAGGCCAGCAUCGGUUUCGGUGGUUGGAUAAAGGCCCUAGGAAUGUAGCUUCUCUCGGGGAGUGUUAUAGCCUAGGGUGCAAUGCAGCCUACCGGGACCGAGGACCGCGCUUCGGCUAGGAUGCUGGCGUAAUGGUUGUAAGCGACCCGUCUUGAAACACGG